Long non-coding RNA from Portunus trituberculatus (swimming crab), 375 nucleotides. RefSeq lists it as uncharacterized. The record is from RefSeq and is a predicted model, not a curated record. Lineage: Eukaryota; Metazoa; Arthropoda; Malacostraca; Decapoda; Portunidae. The transcript has 3 exons.
ACCCUUUCUAUUUUCAAGGUCCUGGUGGUGGUGGUGGUGGUGGUAACAGUCCAAGCCCUGCCUUCACCCUCAUCACGCUACACCCUUACACCAGAAAAGGACUCCACCCCCUACCAGUAUUCCUACGGCGUGAAGGACUUCUCAGCCAACACCAAAUUCGGAAAGACUGAGGACUCAAAUGGACAGACCGUCAAGGGACACUAUUUUGUGGCCCUACCUGACGGGAGGCUACAAACGGUGGAGUAUGUAGCGCACCCUACACACGGUUAUCAAGCACAGGUAAGGUACAAGGGCCUAGCCAGGUACCCCUCUAAGCUACCCACACCUGGUCCACACACACACUCACCUGUACCGUCUAAAAGUGAACCAGUGAAC